Lepisosteus oculatus (spotted gar) is the source of this 450-nucleotide non-coding RNA. The record is from RefSeq and is a predicted model, not a curated record. Lineage: Eukaryota; Metazoa; Chordata; Actinopteri; Semionotiformes; Lepisosteidae.
CAAUCCCAAUAUGGACAGACAUACUAAUGGGAAGAUUUCAGCAAUACGAAAAGAUGGAUGGACUAUAUCAAUUUCUGAGAAAUAAAGGAGGCAUCAGACGGAUACAUAUGCUCGUCAAACCAUGUACUCACAGUUGAAAAAGGCCCUAAAAGGCAUAGCACUAAAAGGCCCAGCAACAUUGGCAAAGGACACUCAUCUGGUGCUGGAAGCUGGGGACCUCCGGUAGGGGGAGGACACGACCUGAUACCUGCCAAAUGGGUGCGAGUGAAGAAGAUACCCUGCCAGACGUUGCAUCCCUGUUGAGAGGGUCCAUAUCAAGUUCUGACUACUGACUCUGCCAUCCGAGUGACAGGAUGAGAUCUCUGGAUCCACUCGUCGCACUGUCACUGAGCCACUGCACCAGAGAGUACUGAGAGUCAAACAGGGAAGCUAAGCAAGUGCUAUUGUAAA